This 72-nucleotide transfer RNA is filed under the name Planctomycetaceae bacterium. Its description in RNAcentral is "tRNA-Asn". It matches the Rfam family "tRNA". Rfam says of the family: Transfer RNA (tRNA) molecules are approximately 80 nucleotides in length. Lineage: Bacteria; Pseudomonadati; Planctomycetota; Planctomycetia; Planctomycetales; Planctomycetaceae. The record is from RNAcentral.
GGGUCGGUAGCUCAGCGGCAGAGCGUGUGCCUGUUAAGCACAAGUGCGCGGGUUCGAGUCCCGUCCGUCCCU